GGUGUAGCUCAGUGGCAGAGCAUCUGCUUGGCGUGCAGAAGGUCUCAGGUUCAAUCCCCAGCGGCAUCC
This is a non-coding RNA of Podarcis lilfordi (Lilford's wall lizard), 69 nucleotides long. NCBI's taxonomy places the organism in Eukaryota, Metazoa, Chordata, Lepidosauria, Squamata, Lacertidae. The record is from the annotation of a GenBank genome assembly.